Equus caballus (horse) is the source of this 2394-nucleotide long non-coding RNA. Lineage: Eukaryota; Metazoa; Chordata; Mammalia; Perissodactyla; Equidae. The record is from Ensembl.
AAGUAAGAAAAAACCCAGAAACAAAACCCAGCUAUACUAUAAAACACUGACGAAAUAUAUAUGAUUGUUGUAAUUUUCAAAUGACCUGAAGGCAGUUUGUCUGUUUUCAGCAUCUCCUGAUACUGAUAUUACAGCAAUAGACAGCAGAAUUUUUUUAUGGCCCCAUUAUUUGUUAGUAUUUCUGUAAUCAAUACCAUCAACCAAUGUGCUGAGCUGGUGGCAAACAAAUCAAUAAUUCUGCCCCAUGUUUUUGUUUUAGGAAAUGCACCCUUUUAUCUCUUAAUUAAAGGUCAUUAUUUCAAUCUCAUGUGAGUUCACUAGACAUACAGGAAUAUUCAAGAGGAAUAGAAAGCAACCUUAAGGUUGAUAUGUAAAAACUAAAUCACAUAUAAAUUAGAAUAUACAGAUUACUAGUAUUUUUCAGUUCAUGAAAAAUUCAUGUAAAAAAAGUUUACAAAACAUUAAGAAACGGUUAUUUAUAUUAGAGAGAUUUUCUUUGAUUAAGCAUUUGUUAAGCAUAAUUCUCUCACCCUAAGGCAUUUAAAAUGUAAUUCACCUAAUGAAAAAUCCAUUUUCCUCAAAAAUUCUAGGAAGCCCAUCAAUGUCAAUAUGCCUCUUUUCUCAAAUUCUGCUUUUUGCUUUUUACCAAGAAAGAAAAAAAAGACAUAGCCAUUUUUACUUAAAAGCAAUCAUACUGAAUUUUAUUCUUUGUAAACUAACUUCUAAAAUUUUUGGAAUCAAAAAUCACCAUACCUUGACAGUUUGAGUGGUUUAUGUGUAUUUAAUUAUGACAUUUCUUUGGUCUUUAUUUAAGUGACUUGUUUCUGAUGGAAUCCAGUAUAUUCCUCUCUGUGACUUUUAAGCAGACAUAAUUAGGAGAGCUGCAGCUAAUGCCAACAGUUAAAGCUAACGCAAUUCGUAUGGCUGUCAAUAAAAGGGACCAAUUAAGGUUUGCACAAGCCAUGCUUUUCACAGCUAACAGAGUUCUCCUAAAUCUCUAGAGAUUUUCAUCUUUUGUUUUUUGAAGAAAAAUAUUUAUCUGUUUACACAAUUUUUGUCUGCUUUAACUGCCUCCAAAAUGAAAGAUAUGCUAGACCAACACUAAAGGUUUAAUAAUAAGGAAUUCAAAGUCAGGAAAUUUCAAGGUUAAUUCUAAAUGUCAGAGUCAUUAUGCACACUUAAGCAACAGCAGUUCUAACAAAAGUCUCCCACACAUUGCUAGAAACUUUCAUUGUUUUUUGAAUGAUUCCAUAAAUUCUUACCGCAAGCCUACAUUUCUCAGGUAUUUACACUAUUUCUCUGGUGUUCAAUAGGCUGAAAACACAGUCCGUCCUGGUUGGGAUGACUAAUUCCAAUUAUCAGUGAGAAAUUGGGUUGCUGUUACUCUAAUGCAAUUGGGGGUCUACAGGUGCAACCCAGAGGAUUCACUGGGGCUCUCCUGAUUACUGUCAUGUCCAGGAGCAAACACUGAGUAAAAAGUACAUCAAUUCAAUAAAACCCGGGUUACUAAAUACGUAGACCUUUAAGAAUGAAUUUAACUCUCAUGAGCUUAAAAACAAAAGUGAUCAACUGAGGUGCUGGCUUAGGGCACAGGAGGCUUGUAAUGAGUGGUAGGAAAAGGAAGUGACAAAAACACUACAGCCUUAAAGCCACUUAUACAAAUGAGGAAAUGAGGAAUGCUGCAGUUUUACAUAUUUGUGUGUGUGUGUGUGAAAGAGAGAGAAAGGGAUUCUAUAGACCUGUAUACAUUAACCUGUGUAUAGUAAUGAAUUAUAUUCUUCCAUCUUCCUUUUGUCCUGUUUUGUUGUGUGAAGAGUAUGAGUGAUGUUUAAAUUUAUAGUUUAGUCCAUAUGUCACAAGACCACAAGAAGCUACACGUGGCUCUGACGGGGAAGCCUUCAUAUCACCUGGAGAUUGAGGACUAUUGAAAUUAAUGCAGUAACUGAUGAGACUUUGGGGAAAGAGGAAGAGUAGUUGUGUGUCAUGAAAUAUAGUUGCAUCAAAUUAGGCAAAGAAUGAUGUAUCGUUUGGGAGUUAAAGUACAGUGGUGAAAUGGAUACAGAAAGAUUUUUAAAAUGUGAACUGAUCAGGUCAUUUGUCUCUUUUCUCUCAGAUAUACUCCUCAGUAUUUCUUUAUUCUGUAUCUCAGAUAGGCUGGAUACUGCAGUUGUAUUUCAUAGGCUCAAUUGCCAAGCUGACUCUUCCAAGUUGAUUUGGCCAAUUGAAUUGCUAGAUGGAGUUGCUAUUUCAGAAAGCACCUCUAUGUGUGGUUGCGGCUUCUCCAAGAUUCCAGAUCCUGUUGGAUACCUUUCUAUCCAGAGUUCUAGCUCCUGCUGAACGCACAGCUUCUUUUACUCUUGUUCUGUGACCUGCUCCUGUUGUCUCUUCAGCCCU